GCUGACAAUCCCAGCACAUCAAUAUCUCAGUUCUAGAUAUUGUGAUUUUCCAUUCUGCUACAUGCACCACAGCGAUUGCUUAGAGUGGAUCAGAAACUAAUUUACAUCUGGCCUCAUCAAAGGAGACAAGGUCGCUCCAAAUAUGAAUAGCACCCUUAAGUGCUUAUUGCUACUCUAACGACCACCACAGAAGAUAUUGGAAGCCAGACCAAAACUUAACGGACCCUUGCAACAUGCUGCCCAACCUUCAUGUGGAUAGAC
This is a long non-coding RNA of Bombina bombina (fire-bellied toad), 261 nucleotides long. RefSeq lists it as uncharacterized. The record is from RefSeq and is a predicted model, not a curated record. The transcript is spliced from 3 exons. Lineage: Eukaryota; Metazoa; Chordata; Amphibia; Anura; Bombinatoridae.